UCAGGGAAGGAGUGGGCCUGCAGGAGACCCGCCAAUGAACGUUGAUCUUUUCAGCCUGCUGAAAAACUACAGUCCUCAUGAUCUGGCUCUGCUCUAUCAGCACUGGUCUCUUAUUGAUCCCAGGAUCGAUCCCCAAGCACUAUUGCAGCUCGAUGGAGGUUUUGGAAAUGAAGUCCAUCCUUCCUCUGAAUCUCCCAAACAAACCAACAGCCGUUAAACUUGUUCCUCAGGGUCUGUGACUUCAACACGAAGAUGCAUCGUGUUGCCUCUGGAUGAACAAGGAGGAAGUAGCCAUAACUCGACUAAAACAGGGGGCAGAUGAUAAUCCACAAUAGAAUUUUAUGCAAAGAGAUGAGUGGAAUUCAAAAUAUUUUUAUGAGUAGCAUUGUUUCACCUGAUGUUAUAGAAUUUGUUUUUUAAACCUAGCUCAUAUUAGUUACUCCACAUCGUGGAAGAUGAAAUGAAGCAGAUUACUGAGAUUAACUGUACAUCAUAGGUUGACGACGUAUUAAUGUGAACAACGCAUACAGGGUUAAGUGGAGAAGCUACAGUGACUAUAAUGCACUAUGGAAACCUGCUGAAGAAAAUGAGUUUAAAUUAAUGUUUCAUUAAACCUGUAAACACAUCAGUCAUGGCCAACAGCCCUAACUGUAGUCACACUAAUGUUUUACCCUCAUCAAAGUUGUUUCACAUUGACAGCACAUUGAACUUAGAGACGUUGGUCCACGUGGUCUGCUGUGUCCCAGGUCACUAAAGGGAUUUUAGACUUGAGUUUUUAAGCCAUGUUUGUUGGUGCUAAUGAACUGGGACAAGCCUUAAAGUUGGGCUGUGGCUGAUUCAACAGUCCUACAUUAAUUAGAGGUACAUGAACUGAGACACCACAUCUAAGCAGUGUUAUAUAAACAGCCUGACUGCAGUUACAUCAGGAAAGAAAGUGACACUUUCACUGGUCCUCAGGCCAACUUUACAGUCCAGAGUCAGUGACUUAAACAUCAUUGUUGCCAGUUGGCUCAAAAUGUUUUAGUUUUUUUUAAAUAACAAUUAAAAAAAAAAGUUCUGUUCAAAUUUGCCUUUUUGUCUCCAACCAGACCGACAGUCUAAACAACUACACUUGUUUCAUGUCCAGGUACAAUUAGAGUUAAAGGUACUGGAGAAAAACAGGUUUGAAGACUGUAAAAUAUUUGUUUUGUUUUUUACUUUUUUGAAAACUUGCUUUGUUCUCAUUCUUGUGUUUAUUUUAUUUUAGUUGUGUUUGAAUUAAUUACAUUCAUCUCCUACAGAGAGUCUAUGCAUUUGAAACAAAGCCAUCAGGUUAUGGAUUCUUAGAAGAUGGUAAAAUACAAUAUUUAUUCUUUGGGAAUAUACAAUUUGACUUGUGAGAUUUCUGGGGGGAUGAAUGUUGAAUUAUUUUUUUGUUAUAUUUAAUGUUGGGGUUUUUUUUCCAUCCGAGUGAUGUUCAACACUCCCUAAGUACUUGAUAUUUGUAGCCAGGACAGCUUUGUUUUCGUUUUGAUGUUUUGUUUUUUUUGUGACCCACUGACGGUGAGGUUACAGUUCAGGAACCUGCAACAGUUUUACAUUGAGCCUGUGUUUGUUUAUUUUUAAUCUUGUUUGUUAAGGGGCAGCUGCAGCCACUUUUAGCAGGACACAAAGAGGCAGUUAUGUUUAUGUUUAAAACCUGAACUUUAUUAUUAAACAAAUGCUCAAGAUGUCAGUGAGUUUGUUUGUUCACUAUUGAUACCACACUUUCUAUUUUUGACAGUCCUUUGUCUGUAAAGUUGUUUCAAUAAAGUUGAUAAAUUCUUGAUUUGUUUUUAUUUGUAACUAGGGCCAGAAACAAACAGAGAUCUGGGCUUAAAUCCUAAAUCUAAACUAGACAUUUGAAAACUGUUAGU
Molecule: long non-coding RNA, 1895 nt
Organism: Cynoglossus semilaevis (tongue sole)
Lineage: Eukaryota; Metazoa; Chordata; Actinopteri; Pleuronectiformes; Cynoglossidae
Exons: 3
Source: RefSeq, a predicted model, not a curated record